Molecule: ribosomal RNA, 253 nt
Filed under: uncultured bacterium
Lineage: Bacteria
Description: partial 16S ribosomal RNA
Rfam family: Bacterial small subunit ribosomal RNA
Source: RNAcentral
UACAGAGGGUGCGAGCGUUAAUCGGAAUUACUGGGCGUAAAGGGCGCGUAGGUGGUUAUUUAAGAUUGUUGUGAAAUCCCUGGGCUUAACCUGGGAACUGCGUCUGAUACUGGAAGGCUCGAGUUCGGGAGAGGAAUGUGGAAUUCCAGGUGUAGCGGUGAAAUGCGUAGAUAUCUGGAGGAACACCGGUGGCGAAGGCGGCAUUCUGGACCGAAACUGACGCUGAGGCGCGAAAGCCAGGGGAGCAAACGGG